CAGAGCUCCAGAGCCUACAAAACAAUAAGUGCCUCCUCCAGCAUUUGCAGCAGCAUGAUCUACUGUUGAACUGUUACAGACUGGACUCUGCCAUCUGGAGAACUUGCGGACUUUCCAUCUUGGUAGAUCUCCUUCAAGGUACUCCAGAUUUAGCUCUUUGUCACAUCUACAGUAGACGUAAAGACAUCCAUUCUCAGGAAGAAGUGCAGGGCUAAGGAAUUUUGAACACUUGGACUGCAAACAUAAAAUUGUGGUGUUUUCUUCCUUGUGGGUGUCAUUGUCUGCGGCUCCACCCAUCAUCUCAGAAGUAUCUUUUCCUUGGUGCUGGUGCAUACUAUGAUUCCUUCAUCAUCAUACUGUUAGCUGGGGACCGCACAAAGUUUUUUGUGGAAGCUUCUGGGAGGAGCACACAGACAGACAGACAGACAGAAGGAACUGUUUAAGCAGCAAUAGAUGUUGUCAUACUGCCCCUGACUCUUAUAUCUUGACAGUAAUCCUCAUUUGAAAUUUUGUGAAUCCAGAACCAUAGCUUGGAACGUGUAAUUGUCAGCGGUUGUAUCUACAGCAAGUUACUGAGCACCUUAAAUG
Long non-coding RNA from Cygnus olor (mute swan), 588 nucleotides. RefSeq lists it as uncharacterized. The record is from RefSeq and is a predicted model, not a curated record. The transcript has 4 exons. NCBI's taxonomy places the organism in Eukaryota, Metazoa, Chordata, Aves, Anseriformes, Anatidae.